This is a long non-coding RNA of Scylla paramamosain (green mud crab), 2556 nucleotides long. RefSeq lists it as uncharacterized. The transcript has 3 exons. NCBI's taxonomy places the organism in Eukaryota, Metazoa, Arthropoda, Malacostraca, Decapoda, Portunidae. The record is from RefSeq and is a predicted model, not a curated record.
CUAAAUAAGAUAAACUGUAUGAAGCUAUCACGCCUACGUGGGUCAGUUUCCAAAUGCCAUUCUUAUCUAGAAAUAUUUUCUUUUAAAGCUUGUUAAUGACUACACUAACAACUUGAUUAGUGGGUGUGAGGGAAUCGCCAACCAUGUAAGCACCCCUCUAACUACUGUGGUAAAGGGAGAGGAAUGAUUGUCCUUCCUCCACCUUAAGGGCGGUGUGUCUCGGUCACGGUUUCUCUUCCUUCUCCUGAAUCCUCGAGCAGCUGACUCCUCGUGAGACAGCGUCACCGCUUCGGAGCAAAGCCUCGAGUGCCUUCAUCACCAUUCCCCUCCCUCCUUGGUAGGGAUACUCUGCAGGAGCUGAGAUAGUGAGGCCAGCAGACACAAGGAGGCACACAGCUCUCAUCACUUGCCACCAUUACGCAUUUGUUCAGCUGUUCUUUUCUAUCGCAACGCAACGCAACGCAAGAUGCAGCGUGGUGUGCCCGGGAGGAGGCGCCAACGUGGAGGAAUGUACAUAUGCAACAACCGCAGCCACACUGCAGUACUCUUGGGUUAACCCGACGUCGAGGAGUUAAGAGCAAAGGAGCAGCAUGGUUGGGCCUCGGCCAGUGACGCGGUAGUAAACAAGGGUGGCCUGCACACUCGUUCAAAACACGUCUCGUAAAAGUCUCAAUUCAAGACCUAUUUCUCGUCCUGCCACCAGGAGUUAGAAGGUCAACCUCGAAGGGACCCUCCCACCACGCUCCCAGCCCGCCUCUACGCCCCGAUAUAUCUAAAGAAAAGAUGUUUAGUGGUGUGGUUGGAGGGCGGGGAACGAGGAUGUUGCUGCAUUGGCCUGGCUGGUGUGCGUGUGUGCGCGAGGACUGUUGUUUUGUGGCCGCUUUCCUGUUUGUGCAUGUGUAUGUUUGAAUGUAUUUGUUAUUCAUGUAUUUGUUUAUUGAUUUAUGCAUUUGUGUGUAUGUUUAUGUUACUCACGAUCGUGAAAUUACUUGCUGUAGUUGUGACAGUCAGAUAUUACAAGCAGAUGAGGAGUUGGAAUUCACGCGAUAGAUAAGAACAGGACCUUACACACACACACACACACACACACACACACACACACACACACACACACACACACACACACACACACACACACACACACCAUUGUUUUGCUCACUAAUUACUUACUCAUUACAUUUAGCAACCUUCAAUCUGGUAAAUAACACUCAAGGACAUUACUAGUGUGUGUGUGCGUGUGUGUGUGUGUGUGUGUGUGUGUGUGUGUGUGUGUGUGUGUGUGUGUGUGUGUGUGUGUGUGUGUGUGUGUGUGUGUGUGUAAGGUCCUGUUCUUAUCUAUCGCGUGAAUUCCAACCCCUCAUCUGCUUGUAAUAUCUUCUGUGUGUGUGUAUGUGUGUGUGUGUGUGUGUGUGUGUGUGUGUGUGUGUGUGUGUGUGUGUGUGUGUGUGUGUGUGUAUGUGUGUGUCAGUGAUCACAAGAAAGCCACAUUACCAUUUCCUGGUAUCAGUCGAGGUAUUUAUUUAUGCGUGCGAUAUUCGUCCCUUUCAUUAUUGUUGUUUAGACAAAAUAUCUGAUGACGUCAUCUGGAUUCCUCCACAACAAGCCUUCCUGAAGCUACUAAUCUGGCAGAGCCACUCAAUUAACCUCCCUUCACUGCACGGGGACGUAUGAAGCAACUCAUCAACAAUAUCUCCUAACAUUCAACGAAAACCUGAAGAGAUAUGGAACAGUUUUCUCGCCCGUCUAUCGCCGAGCGGCAGCAGGAGGAGGCAUAUGUGUGAAAAUAAAAAUAAACGGAUAUCCUGUACAGCUGUCUGAGGAAACAAAAUGAAUACCUUCUGCAGCUGUCAGGGAAAAGUGAAAUAAGAGACGGAAAAAUAUUAAAGUAAUCGUGGAGGUCCGGUUGUAUCUGUCACGCGCCACCUUGAGUCACGGAGCCAAUUAGAAGCCCAGGUAAAAUUACUAGCCUUGCGAAGUGGAAUAACCGUCCCUUGGGUGUGUUAGUGAUGUAUGAUAAUGAUGGCUGGUGACCGCGUGUGGUGGUGGUGGUGGUGGUGGUGGUAGUGGUGGUGGUGAUAGUAACAGUGGUAGUAAUAGUGGUAGUAAUGAAACAGUGAAGUAUGAUGUCACGUGCCGCCCACAUACUUUGGAAUCACCAAUAGCAUCAGAUUGUCUUCUUCCCAUAAGCCUGGAUUUGUUAUUGCCGUAAAUGCUCCCAUGCCUGUGUUGGAGGAGGCGAGCAGUGAUGUCCACCACAGAGAUAGAGUCUGUCUUUCUCUUGCACUUUAGGCGAGGCGAGUGGUGAGAUUUGCCAGAGGAUGAGAGAUGUCCUUACGCUGGUUCUUCUUUGCCCUGACGCCAGGUUAGAAUUUUGUUGUAAAGUUGGAGGAAAGCUGUGAAGGAAAAAAUGUUAUAAUGUGCAAAAUGAAUGGUGAAGUUUUCCUUUAAAGUAUAGGAUUAAAAAGAAAAAUAAGAAAGGCAUCGUUAUAUACAAUAAUUCCUUUUUAAAUACCCCUUAUUGCUAUGAAGACCCCCAGUGUAAAUCGAUAUAUCACU